AAGGGCAAAAGCUUGCUUGAUCUUGAUUUUCAGUAUGAAUACAGACCGUGAAAGCGGGACCUCACGAUCCUUCUGACUUUUUGGGUUUUAAGCAGGAGGUGUCAGAAAAGUUACCAAAGGGAUUAUUGGCAAAGCGGAAGAGCAGACGUCUU
Long non-coding RNA from Xiphophorus couchianus (Monterrey platyfish), 152 nucleotides. RefSeq lists it as uncharacterized. The record is from RefSeq and is a predicted model, not a curated record. The transcript is spliced from 4 exons. Lineage: Eukaryota; Metazoa; Chordata; Actinopteri; Cyprinodontiformes; Poeciliidae.